GACCCCAGGUCAGGCGGGAUCACCCGCUGAGUUUAAGCAUAUC
RNAcentral lists this ribosomal RNA (43 nucleotides) under Dalechampia pernambucensis. Its description in RNAcentral is "partial 26S ribosomal RNA". The record is from RNAcentral. Lineage: Eukaryota; Viridiplantae; Streptophyta; Magnoliopsida; Malpighiales; Euphorbiaceae.